Molecule: non-coding RNA, 73 nt
Organism: Callorhinchus milii (elephant shark)
Lineage: Eukaryota; Metazoa; Chordata; Chondrichthyes; Chimaeriformes; Callorhinchidae
Source: the annotation of a RefSeq genome assembly
AAUUCUGUAGCUCAGUGGUAAGAGCACUCGCCUCCUAAGCGAGAGAAACUGGGUUCGAUUCCCAGCAGGGUGA